This is a non-coding RNA of Candidatus Pelagibacter sp. RS39, 83 nucleotides long. The record is from Rfam. NCBI's taxonomy places the organism in Bacteria, Pseudomonadati, Pseudomonadota, Alphaproteobacteria, Candidatus Pelagibacterales, Candidatus Pelagibacteraceae.
GCCCUCGUGGUGAAAUUGGUAGACACAAAGGACUUAAAAUCCUUGCCGCUUGCGGAGUGCCAGUUCGAGUCUGGCCGAGGGCA